GCGAAUGGCUCAUUAAAUCAGUCAUAAUUGAAGGGAUGUUGUGAGAUCCUUACUUGGAUAACUGUGGUAAUUCUAGAGCUAAUACAUGCAACUGAGCUCCGACCCUGCCCGCAAGGGCGGGGAAAGGGCGCAAUUAUUAGAUCAAAAACCUGGUAACGGUUAAUUGAUGACUCUGGAUAACCUAGCCGAGCGCUGAGGUCUUAGUACCGGCGCCGUAUCCUUUAAGUGUCUGCCCUAUCAGCUUGAUUGUAGGUUAAGCGCCUACCCUGGCUGUAACGGGUAACGGGGAAUCAGGGUUCGAUUCCGGAGAGGGAGCCUGAGAAACGGCUACCACAUCUAAGGAAGGCAGCAGGCACGCAAAUUACCCAAUCCCGGCACGGGGAGGUAGUGACGAAAAAUAACGAUGCGGGACUCUUCCGAGGCCUCGCAAUCGGAAUGAGUUCAGUCUAAAUGCCUGGACGAGGAUCAAUUAGAGGGCAAGUCUGGUGCCAGCAGCCGCGGUAACUCCAGCUCUAAUAGCGUAUAUUAAAGUU
RNAcentral lists this ribosomal RNA (533 nucleotides) under Styloniscus sp. Ja250. RNAcentral's name for it is "bacterial SSU rRNA". It matches the Rfam family "Eukaryotic small subunit ribosomal RNA", at positions 89 to 611 of the family's 1831-position model. Lineage: Eukaryota; Metazoa; Arthropoda; Malacostraca; Isopoda; Styloniscidae. The record is from RNAcentral.